AACUCACUACUUGACCCCAUUCUUCCAACAGCCAGGAAUAUGUAAUUCUCCUGAAAGUCAGAUGCAUUCUCUGUAUUUAUUAGAAAUCAACUCAAUGUAUUUUACAAUCCAAAUUAAAAUUGACAAAAGAAUCGCAACGUGUCAUAGGAAAAAUAAUUGGACAACUCAAAACAAGUCAGCAGGACAUGAAUUAUCAAACGAUAGUUUGAUCGGACCAAAAAUAGAAAGAGCCAAACUCACUUUCGCAUAUACAAGUGAAUGGACAUAGCUCCUCCUGGAAUAUCAACCGCAGUCCAAAACAGAGGAACUCCUUAAUUGGAAGUACAGAGUUCGAUGACCUCUAGCACAUUCUGGUGUCCCUCAUGAAUGCUCCUGUGAAACAGAUACCAUGCUCUGCUUUUAGAAAAUGACGGACUGGAACUUACAAGAUGAGUUGAAUGAACAAGCUUCUCUAGAGAUGAGAGAGGAGAAAAUAACUGCAAGGUAAAGUUCAGUUCAUGUGUCUUCUAAAUCUUCUAAAGAUAGCAAAGUACACAACAAAAUUUAAAGGCUAGCAUAACAUGUUUUUGUCACUUUUGUUCAGUUCAUAUAUCUCUAUUAUGCUUUUGUUCUGUACAUAUCUCUCAUUCCACCAAAACACUACAAAAUCUGAAAGCACAUAGAAAUAUAAUAGCACAUUCGAUCAUUACUGCCAUAAAGAGAUUAUUGAGCCAGG
Molecule: long non-coding RNA, 715 nt
Filed under: Brachypodium distachyon (stiff brome)
Lineage: Eukaryota; Viridiplantae; Streptophyta; Magnoliopsida; Poales; Poaceae
Description: long non-coding RNA (BDIS_LNC003106)
Source: RNAcentral